This 403-nucleotide ribosomal RNA is filed under the name uncultured delta proteobacterium. Its description in RNAcentral is "bacterial SSU rRNA". It matches the Rfam family "Bacterial small subunit ribosomal RNA", at positions 370 to 779 of the family's 1533-position model. The record is from RNAcentral. Lineage: Bacteria; Deltaproteobacteria.
AAUGGGCGCAAGCCUGAUCCAGCGAUGCCGCGUGUGUGAAGAAGGCCUGCGGGUUGUAAAGCACUUUCAGUAGAGAAGAAAUGUUAGAACUGUUGACGUUAUCUACAGAAGAAGCACCGGCUAACUCUGUGCCAGCAGCCGCGGUAAUACAGAAGGUGCAAGCGUUAAUCGGACUAACUGGGCGUAAAGGGCGUGUAGGUGGUUAAUUCAGUCAGAUGCGAAAGCCCCGGGCUUAACCUGGGAACGGCAUCUGAAACGGGUUGACUUGAGUGAGGAAGAGGGAAGUGGAAUUUCCGGUGUAGCGGUGAAAUGCGUAGAUAUCGGAAGGAACACCAGUGGCGAAGGCGACUUCCUGGUCCGACACUGACACUGAGGCGCGAAAGCGUGGGUAGCGAACAGGAUU